This 519-nucleotide ribosomal RNA is filed under the name uncultured bacterium. Its description in RNAcentral is "bacterial SSU rRNA". It matches the Rfam family "Bacterial small subunit ribosomal RNA", at positions 777 to 1304 of the family's 1533-position model. The record is from RNAcentral.
AAUAGAUACCCGGGUAGUCCACGCCGUAAACGAUGGAUACUAGCUGUUGGGGGCGACCUCAGUGGCUAAGCGAAAGUGAUAAGUAUCCCACCUGGGGAGUACGUUCGCAAGAAUGAAACUCAAAGGAAUUGACGGGGGCCCGCACAAGCGGUGGAGCAUGUGGUUUAAUUCGAUGAUACGCGAGGAACCUUACCAAGGCUUAAAUGCAGACUGACCGUUUUGGAAACAGAACUUUCGCAAGACAGUCUACAAGGUGCUGCAUGGUUGUCGUCAGCUCGUGCCGUGAGGUGUCAGGUUAAGUCCUAUAACGAGCGCAACCCCUGUUGUUAGUUGCCAGCGAGUAGUGUCGGGAACUCUAACAAGACUGCCAGUGCAAACUGUGAGGAAGGUGGGGAUGACGUCAAAUCAUCACGGCCCUUACGCCUUGGGCUACACACGUGCUACAAUGGCCGGUACAGAGAGCAGCCACCUCGCGAGGGGGAGCGAAUCUACAAAGCCGGUCACAGUUCGGAUCGGAGU